CCAAAAGCUUAGGUUAAAACAAACCAGGGGCCUUCAAAGCCCCAAACAAGGCUUAAAUCCCUUAGCUUUUG
Molecule: transfer RNA, 71 nt
Filed under: Trachylepis maculilabris
Lineage: Eukaryota; Metazoa; Chordata; Lepidosauria; Squamata; Scincidae
Description: tRNA-Trp
Rfam family: tRNA
About the family: Transfer RNA (tRNA) molecules are approximately 80 nucleotides in length.
Source: RNAcentral